GUGAGGAAUAUUGGUCAAUGGGCGGGAGCCUGAACCAGCCAAGUCGCGUGAAGGAAGAAGGAUCUAUGGUUCGUAAACUUCUUUUGCAGGGGAAUAAAGUGCAGGACGUGUCCUGUUUUGUAUGUACCCUGAGAAUAAGGAUCGGCUAACUCCGUGCCAGCAGCCGCGGUAAUACGGAGGAUCCGAGCGUUAUCCGGAUUUAUUGGGUUUAAAGGGUGCGUAGGUGGUUUGAUAAGUCAGCGGUGAAAGUUUGCAGCUUAACUGUAAAAAUGCCGUUGAAACUGUCGAACUUGAGUGUACAUGAGGUAGGCGGAAUGCGUGGUGUAGCGGUGAAAUGCAUAGAUAUCACGCAGAACUCCGAGUGCGAAUGCAGCUUACUAAGCUACAACUGACACUGAAGAACGAAAGCGUGGGGAUCAAACAGGAUUAGAUACCCUAGUAGUCC
RNAcentral lists this ribosomal RNA (445 nucleotides) under uncultured bacterium. RNAcentral's name for it is "partial 16S ribosomal RNA". It matches the Rfam family "Bacterial small subunit ribosomal RNA", at positions 354 to 796 of the family's 1533-position model. The record is from RNAcentral.